UUUUCCCUGCCUCCGGUUGCCAGGGCAACAAGUGGAGAGGCCGGCAGCCAGGGAGACUUUAGCUGCCUUUUCAAGGCGCCCUGGACAUAAACAGCACUUUCCAUAAUGGAAGCCCAGCAUCAAGGUUUUAAAGAGCCAGACAAUACAGCUGAGGGGAAAAUCGCUGGGGAGGGGCAAGGCACCCCCACUGGUCAGUGUGAGAGACAGACAGACACAAAACAGCCGGCUCCCUGAGAGGUCUGAUCCUCUGCCUGACCCAUGGCUCCAGACCCUGCUGCCCCAGUGCCUUCUGUGAUACCAGAGAUCUCCACAGCCAUGCCUCUGCCUGGGACAUGGAGUGUCCAUCUCAGUGAGAAGCUGGAGAAGGCCCCAGGCAGCUUCAGAGAGAGACAGGUGAGGCAAAGCAAGGGUGAAUGAGUUCAGGGGACUGCAGUUAGGACUUGG
This is a long non-coding RNA of Mastomys coucha (southern multimammate mouse), 444 nucleotides long. RefSeq lists it as uncharacterized. The transcript is spliced from 2 exons. The record is from RefSeq and is a predicted model, not a curated record. NCBI's taxonomy places the organism in Eukaryota, Metazoa, Chordata, Mammalia, Rodentia, Muridae.